This 252-nucleotide ribosomal RNA is filed under the name uncultured bacterium. RNAcentral's name for it is "partial 16S ribosomal RNA". It matches the Rfam family "Bacterial small subunit ribosomal RNA", at positions 525 to 776 of the family's 1533-position model. The record is from RNAcentral.
ACGUAGGUGGCAAGCGUUGUCCGGAUUUAUUGGGCGUAAAGCGAGCGCAGGCGGAAAGAUAAGUCAGAUGUGAAAGCCCUCGGCUCAACCGGGGAAUUGCAUCUGAAACUAUGUUUCUUGAGUGCAGAAGAGGAGAGUGGAACUCCAUGUGUAGCGGUGGAAUGCGUAGAUAUAUGGAAGAACACCAGUGGCGAAGGCGGCUCUCUGGUCUGCAACUGACGCUGAGGCUCGAAAGCAUGGGUAGCGAACAGG